Molecule: long non-coding RNA, 1778 nt
Organism: Stylophora pistillata
Lineage: Eukaryota; Metazoa; Cnidaria; Anthozoa; Scleractinia; Pocilloporidae
Source: RefSeq, a predicted model, not a curated record
UGGUCAACAAAAAGGCGUGUGAAUAUUUUCCUGCAAAAUGCUGGGAUUUCAAUUACAAAGCAUUCUUUGACUGAGAUAGAUACAUUCAGUUAUUGCAAGAAAAAAAGAAAGGGAAAUGAGUGAACGAAUCACCCUGUCACUGCACAUAAGCGAUGCAAAUGUACAAACACGCGCCUUCCGAAGCCAUUCCUUCAACAAUCCUCCAACUUUAUCAACUCAUCGCUCCCGAAGAACGCUUAGUCUCCCAGCCAGAGAAAAACCGAUCAUUCCCCCACCAAUCUCGGAGAUUCCCGAAGAAUGCCGACUGGAUGACGAAAACCAUCCCUCAGAACAGAAACCUAUACAGAGUUAUACAGAAACCUUUACAGAAAACUGUCAUGACGAGAUCCAUUGGUUUACACCGAUAGCGGGCCUGUUGAUUAGUCUUCUGUUAUACAUGUGGGCAUGCCUCUUAUCCUUAUCAGCUGAUGAAAAGAAUAUUAUUUCCUGAAAUUAUGACCCUUAAAUACUGUUUAAUAUAGCUUUCUAGGCGAAUCAGAUGGUCAAAACCAGUUAAGAAACGAGAGAAAAUCGUGAAGUAGGAGAGUGACAUAUCUUAACUUUUGACCUUAUCCUUUCUUUUCGAGUACAAAGUGAUUAGUGACUCGAUGCAAUUUCCUUUGUUUAAUAGUGGGCAUUACAAAGUUAUCUCAGAUUGAUUAGAACAUUACAAGGGGCAGAGGAGAAAAACGAUACUAAUACUUGAUUAUCGCUACUGUAACUCCGCGACAGAGGGGAAUGGGCACGAGUCACGACAGACCAUGUUGCUGUUGAUUCUUAGUCUACAUAAAUGACUUGGUGAGAUACCCCCUGCUCAUGCUUUUGUGGAAAAAUCUGGAGUAAAAUAUUUAAUCAUUUUUUUCAACAUUUUCUCUUAGUAAAUCACCAGAAGCUUAGUGGUAUCGACAAAACCUACCGCAGUCUAGUUCAGUGCGGCAGAAAGCUUAGGGCAAAAUCAAUAAAGAUAUCAAGUCUCUUGAAAUCGCGCUUUUGUAAUCAUACCAAUCAUCAUAACGGCUAUGAGCAGCAAGGCGCCUCUCAAGCAAUCCUAUAGACUAAAGUGACUGUAUGGUGAACUCGAAGAUAUAUCAAGCAGAAUAGAAUUAGAGUAUAGAGUGACUAAAAGCCAAUGAUCUUGUGAUGCCAAGAAACAGAAUUGGGCUGCCAUUUCCGCGAUAGUCUCCCCCUUUAUUAUCCGCUAUAUUUAAAAACUGAUCCGUUAUCUUCUCUGAGACUCAUGCUCUCCCCUGACUCCCAAGUCCGUGCUAAUGUGCGACUUUGCUAAUACUAUGUCCUUAUGAAUCCUGGGAUUGGCCGAGCCUGUACCAGGUCACUCAAGAGGCAUGUUGUUUUGAGCUCCCUCUAUCAUUAUUAUCGUUGUAUAAGAUGCAAAGCUAAAAAUGCCUCAGGUUGUGCGUUUGCCAAUAUUUUUUCUUUCCAUUAUGGGCCAAGUAGAUCUUUGAUUAGUGUGGGAAUGUGGAAAUGACCGUAGACAUUCCGAAAGGUACAAAAUUUUUAGCGAAAACCUCUUAUUUCUAAAACGUGGGUUCGUGCAGAAGUCCGUAAUAAGUUGUUACCUCUUCCGUUCCAUUUUUAUCGAUCAAGGUAGACCUUUUGGAGCUCAAAUGAAAACCACAUGUGCAUACUCCACGAAUUAUUGAAAUUUAAUUCUUAAAAGCAAAGGAAUAAGCUUUGGAGUAGCGAGGAAUACUAUUUUCAAGAGUGCAAGUGCUCUCACG